RNAcentral lists this transfer RNA (72 nucleotides) under Stegodyphus mimosarum. It matches the Rfam family "tRNA". From Rfam's summary of the family: Transfer RNA (tRNA) molecules are approximately 80 nucleotides in length. Lineage: Eukaryota; Metazoa; Arthropoda; Arachnida; Araneae; Eresidae. The record is from Rfam by way of RNAcentral.
GCCUUCAUAGUGUAGCGGUCAGCACGCUGGGCGCGUAUUCCAGAGGACCGUGUUCGAGUCAGGGCGAAGGCG